UUUCUACUUACUUUCCUCCUUCACAGUUCCCGGUCACUGCUAUCACAGAAAAUAGACUCAACUCAAAAGGGUUUACAGAAGCACAGCCGAUGUUUGAUCAAGGGCUCUGCUCAAGACACACUCUCCUCUGACUUUCCUUAUCGGAUAGGAACAGCUGCAUGGUCCAUUAGCAGUGAAAACAUCAGCCAGAAUAGCCAGAUGUGUUCGCUUGAACACACGUUAACAGAGCCAUUUGUGUCCCUUAGACUUCAUUGCACUUUAUUUCAUUGGUUCGUUUUAACCCAGCGAUUUGACAUUGCUUCUAAGGACUGCCUUUCCUGAAGCCAACAGACUGGUGUUUAAUGACUUCAGACACAAGGCCCUGAAGAGUUUUGAAAUACUGGAGUGAAGUUUUAUUUUGUUCUGUUCCCAGAUUUUCUUGCUAUCCCCAAUUCCAUAACUUGGAAAAUGUGAGCAGGGGUACAGACUUCAGUAGAUAAAGGGUGUGUGUGUAAGCUCGGUGGCUUACAGAUGUUUGCUAUCUGAAAUGCGUCAAUCUUGAUGACAUCUCAGUAUUCAGUGGAUAACAAAUGGACUGCGUCUGCCAUGGUGGCCCAAUCAUAUGUGGCACGGCCGUGCUUUGAAUGUGCAGCAAGGCAUAUCAGGUCGAAGCCAUCAAUCUUGUAUUGACCAGCUUCAUUAAAUAAAACAUGAGUUUCUUGUAUUCA
This 707-nucleotide long non-coding RNA is filed under the name Chrysemys picta bellii (western painted turtle). RNAcentral's name for it is "lncRNA (ENSCPBG00000010306.1)". Lineage: Eukaryota; Metazoa; Chordata; Testudines; Emydidae. The record is from RNAcentral.